GUCUGACUGUCUUGUGCUGGUGUGUUACAGGUGUUUGUCAAGGAGGUUCAUGUCACCAAGGGUUCAGAUACGUUGUUGUAGAGAGGGUCUGACUGUCUUGUUGCUGGUGUGUUACAGGUGUUUGUCAAGGUGGUUCAUGUCACCAAGGGUUCAGAUACGUUGUUGUAGAGAGGGUCUGACU
This is a long non-coding RNA of Haliotis rubra (blacklip abalone), 181 nucleotides long. RefSeq lists it as uncharacterized. The record is from RefSeq and is a predicted model, not a curated record. The transcript is spliced from 3 exons. Lineage: Eukaryota; Metazoa; Mollusca; Gastropoda; Lepetellida; Haliotidae.